GGUUUCGUAGCUCAGUCGGAAGAGCAGCGGACUUCGUGAGCCGAUAUGUCGCAGGUUCGAUUCCUGCCGAAACCACCA
This 78-nucleotide transfer RNA is filed under the name Dysosmobacter sp. RNAcentral's name for it is "tRNA-Thr". It matches the Rfam family "tRNA". From Rfam's summary of the family: Transfer RNA (tRNA) molecules are approximately 80 nucleotides in length. Lineage: Bacteria; Bacillati; Bacillota; Clostridia; Eubacteriales; Oscillospiraceae. The record is from RNAcentral. RNAcentral also lists the same sequence under 1 other name.